UUAGGAAUCUUCGGCAAUGGGCGAAAGCCUGACCGAGCGACGCCGCGUGAAGGAUGAAGGCCCUCGGGUCGUAAACUUCUAAAAGAGGGACGAUAAUGACGGUACCUCUUGAAAAGCACCGGCUAACUCCGUGCCAGCAGCCGCGGUAAUACGGAGGGUGCAAGCGUUAUCCGGAAUCACUGGGCGUAAAGGGCGCGUAGGCGGCCUGUUAAGUCCGAUGUUAAAGACUGGGGCUCAACCCCAGCAUUGCGUUGGAUACUGGCAGGCUUGACGGUUGGAGAGGCGAGUGGAAUUACCAGUGUAGCGGUGAAAUGCGUAGAUACUGGUAGGAACACCCAUUGCGAAGGCAGCUCGCUGGACAACACGUGACGCUGAGGCGCGAAAGUGUGGGGAGCAAACCGG
RNAcentral lists this ribosomal RNA (402 nucleotides) under uncultured bacterium. RNAcentral describes it as "bacterial SSU rRNA". It matches the Rfam family "Bacterial small subunit ribosomal RNA", at positions 355 to 776 of the family's 1533-position model. The record is from RNAcentral.